AACGAACGCUGGCGGCAUGCCUAACACAUGCAAGUCGAACGAUGCUUUCGGGCAUAGUGGCGCACGGGUGCGUAACGCGUGGGAAUCUGCCCUUGGGUUCGGAAUAACAGUGAGAAAUUGCUACUAAUACCGGAUGAUGUCUUCGGACCAAAGAUUUAUCGCCCAGGGAUGAGCCCGCGUAGGAUUAGCUAGUUGGUGGGGUAAUGGCCUACCAAGGCGACGAUCCUUAGCUGGUCUGAGAGGAUGAUCAGCCACACUGGGACUGAGACACGGCCCAGACUCCUACGGGAGGCAGCAGUGGGGAAUAUUGGACAAUGGGCGCAAGCCUGAUCCAGCAAUGCCGCGUGAGUGAUGAAGGCCUUAGGGUUGUAAAGCUCUUUUACCCGGGAUGAUAAUGACAGUACCGGGAGAAUAAGCUCCGGCUAACUCCGU
Molecule: ribosomal RNA, 432 nt
Filed under: uncultured bacterium
Lineage: Bacteria
Description: partial 16S ribosomal RNA
Rfam family: Bacterial small subunit ribosomal RNA
Source: RNAcentral